This 568-nucleotide ribosomal RNA is filed under the name uncultured archaeon. RNAcentral describes it as "bacterial SSU rRNA". It matches the Rfam family "Archaeal small subunit ribosomal RNA", at positions 311 to 879 of the family's 1478-position model. The record is from RNAcentral.
CCGCGAAUUGCCCUUCGGGGUGCAGCAGGCGCGAAAACUUUACAAUGCCGGCAACGGCNNAUAGGGAACCUCGAGUGCCAGGUUACAAAUCUGGCUGUCGUGAUGCCUAAAAAGCAUUGCAUAGCAAGGGCCGGGCAAGACCGGUGCCAGCCGCCGCGGUAACACCGGCGGCUCGAGUGGUAACCGUUAUUAUUGGGUCUAAAGGGUCUGUAGCCGGCCGGGUAAGUCUCUUGGGAAAUCUGGCAGCUUAACUGUCAGGCUUUCAGGAGAUACUGCCUGGCUCGAGGCCGGGAGAGGUGAGAGGUACUUCAGGGGUAGGGGUGAAAUCUUGUAAUCCUUGAAGGACCACCAGUGGCGAAGGCGUCUCACCAGAACGGACCUGACGGCAAGGGACGAAAGCUAGGGGCACGAACCGGAUUAGAUACCCGGGUAGUCCUAGCCGUAAACGAUACUCGCUAGGUGUCGGCCACGGUGCGACCGUGGUCGGUGCCGUAGGGAAGCCGUGAAGCGAGCCACCUGGGAAGUACGGCCGCAAGGCUGAAACUUAAAGGAAUUGGCGGGGGAGCAC